UGUUCAUUUUUUUACUUUUGAGCGGUGCCGUGUUAUUUACGUGACCAUGGUAACGGGUGAAUUCGGCACCGCCCGCAUAGAAAUUUACCAUUAUCAAAACAGUUCAAACACCAUCUUGGUCAUUCAGGGUACAGUUACCGUAAUCAACCGUACUUAAAUGGUUAGUCGACUAUGGUAAAACAUUAACGAAAUCUUACAAAAAAAAGUUAACAUUCUGAAUAUUAUUCUCAUACAAUUUUUUACGUUGCAAACAUUUGCGAACCAUUCGCCCUAAUAAUACCCUAACCAUAAUAGUAACAGUUACCAUGUCGAUUACCAGAGCGACUGUCGUUCGCGUGUUUUGUUUUUUCUGCCCGGGAUAAAUUCAACUUUUUUACUCAAGUGUUAGCGAUUAAAAACGGCUUUGGAAUUAAAAUUUAAUUCAACGGCGAUCCAAGAUCUCAUAAACGAACAGGAGCAAGGCUGUGAUGACGGAGAAUGUCGCGAAAAAAUGGAUGAUGCAACAAGGAAAAAUCUAUCGGCAUCUGGGACAGAACUUCCGACGCGCAGCAGUAAAUCAAGGAAGCAUGACUUGGAGCAGUGAACCAGCAGGGAGCAGCAGGUACUUUAGCUUAGCUUAGACUGACUACACAUAUCAAUGGUUGCUAUUCCGUGAUUGACCGAAGUCAGUGAAAAU
Long non-coding RNA from Aedes aegypti (yellow fever mosquito), 676 nucleotides. RefSeq lists it as uncharacterized. The transcript has 3 exons. The record is from RefSeq and is a predicted model, not a curated record. NCBI's taxonomy places the organism in Eukaryota, Metazoa, Arthropoda, Insecta, Diptera, Culicidae.